Molecule: ribosomal RNA, 724 nt
Filed under: uncultured bacterium
Lineage: Bacteria
Description: bacterial SSU rRNA
Rfam family: Bacterial small subunit ribosomal RNA
Source: RNAcentral
UUAUUGCGCGAUCGCCUUGAGUUGAUCAUGGCUCAGAGUGAACGCUGGCGGCGUGCUUAACACAUGCAAGUCGAACGCGAAAGGGUAGCAAUAUCCGAGUAGAGUGGCGAACGGGUGAGUAACAUGUGAGUAAUCUGCCUUGGAGAGGGGGAUAACCUGGCGAAAGCUGGGCUAAUACCCCAUGAAGUUUGGUUGUUUUCGGACGAGCAAACGAAAGGAUGGCCUCUAUUUAUAAGCUAUCGCUUGGAGAGGAGCUCACAUCCUAUCACGCUUGUUGGUGAGGUAAAGGCUCACCAAGGCGACGACGGGUAGCCGGCCUGAGAGGGUGUCCGGCCACACUGGAACUGAGAUACGGUCCAGACUCCUACGGGAGGCAGCAGUGGGGAAUUUUUCGCAAUGGGCGCAAGCCUGACGAAGCAACGCCGCGUGGAGGAUGAAGGCCCUAGCGGUUGUAAACUCCUGUCUAGCGGGACGAAGGUAGAGGUUGCAAAUAGCGAUCUGUAUUAACUGUACCGCUGGAGGAAGCUCCGGCUAACUCCGUGCCAGCAGCCGCGGUAAUACGGAGGGAGCAAGCGUUACUCGGAAUUAUUGGGCGUAAAGGGCGCGUAGGCGAUUUGACAAGUCGGUUGUGAAAGCCCAGGGCCUAACCCUGGAAGUGCAACCGAGACUGUUAAAUUUGAGUACAGGAGAGGAAGGCAGAAUUCCCGGUGUAGCGGUGAAAUGC